AUUGAACGCUGGCGGCAUGCCUUACACAUGCAAGUCGAACGGUAACAGGUCUUCGGAUGCUGACGAGUGGCGAACGGGUGAGUAAUACAUCGGAACGUGCCUAGUAGUGGGGGAUAACUAAUCGAAAGAGUGGCUAAUACCGCAUGAGAUCUACGGAUGAAAGCAGGGGAUCGCAAGACCUUGUGACACUAGAGCGGCCGAUGACAGAAUAGGUAGUUGGUGGGAUAAAAGAUUACCAAGCCGACGAUCUGUAGAUGGUCUGAGAGGACGAUCAGCCACACUGGGACUGAGACACGGCCCAGACUCCUACGGGAGGCAGCAGUGGGGAAUUUUGGACAAUGGGCGAAAGCCUGAUCCAGCAAUGCCGCGUGCAGGAUGAAGGCCUUCGGGUUGUAAACUGCUUUUGUACGGAACGAAAAGCCCCGGGUUAAUACCCUGGGGUCAUGACGGUACCGUAAGAAUAAGCACCGGCUAACUACGUGCCAGCCGCCGCGGUAA
Molecule: ribosomal RNA, 498 nt
Filed under: uncultured bacterium
Lineage: Bacteria
Description: partial 16S ribosomal RNA
Rfam family: Bacterial small subunit ribosomal RNA
Source: RNAcentral